RNAcentral lists this ribosomal RNA (497 nucleotides) under uncultured bacterium. Its description in RNAcentral is "partial 16S ribosomal RNA". It matches the Rfam family "Bacterial small subunit ribosomal RNA", at positions 28 to 507 of the family's 1533-position model. The record is from RNAcentral.
GAUGAACGCUGGCGGCGUGCCUAAUACAUGCAAGUCGAGCGAACGGACGAGCAGCUUGCCUCUCUGAUGUUAGCGGCGGACGGGUGAGUAACACGUGGCUCACCUAUCUAUAAGACUGGGAUAACUUCGGGACACCGUAGCUAAUACCGGAUAAUCUUUUGAACCGCAUGGUUCAAACGUGAAAGACGGUCUUGCUGUCACUUAUAGAUGGAUCCGCGCUUCAUUAGCUAGUUGGUAAGGUAACGGUUUACCAAGGCAACGAUGCAUAGCCGACCUGAGAGGGUGAUCGGCCACACUGAAACUGGGACACGGUCCAGACUCCGACGGGAGGCGGAGGUAGGGAAGCUUCCGCAAUGGGCGAAAGCCUGACGGAGCAACGCCGCGUGAGUGAUGAAGGUCUUCGGAUCGUAAAACUCUGUUAUUAGGGAAGAACAUAUGUGUAAGUAACUGUGCACAUCGUGACGGUACCUAAUCAGAAAGCCACGGCUAACUACGUG